GGGGGCGUACUGGCAUCGACGUGGGUCACGAAGUCCAAGAGGCAUGCCGAGGCGCAGCGCACCUCGUAAAUCCAGCUGCAAGCAAGAUAGUUGCCGACAACGACAACUACGCACUGGCUGCGUAAAUCAAGGCCAGCUCCCGGUACGAGGCGUGCUUGCGCGUCCGAAUCGGGGGGCAUCUUUCGCAAGCUCGCGGCGCGGCCCGUCCCCGGCCAACCCGUUAAAAACUUUGGGGAAUCGCCGUCAGGCCACCUGCCACUCGGUGGCGGACGGUUAAAAUAUAGAGCCGGCUAAGCAUGUAGAUUCGAGGAUGGAGGUCUCGCGGACGCGGGUUCGAUUCCCGCCGCCUCCACCA
Molecule: transfer-messenger RNA, 355 nt
Filed under: Gammaproteobacteria bacterium
Lineage: Bacteria; Pseudomonadati; Pseudomonadota; Gammaproteobacteria
Rfam family: transfer-messenger RNA
About the family: Bacterial tmRNA, also known as 10Sa RNA or SsrA, is named for its dual tRNA and mRNA-like properties.
Source: RNAcentral